AAUUGUGAUUUUUCGUUUAUAACCGUCGAAAACUUUUGUUCUGUUACGUAAUCUCUGAAUGUUUGUUUGUUAUGAUUUUUUACAUAUGCGAUCUCGGAAUGUGUACAAAUAAGUUUGACGGUUGGAUCGUUGAAAAAAGUUUUGUAGAAUGCAUAUUUCGUCAAAACAGUAGAUUAAACAAACACUUAGAGUUAAUAUUAUACUUCUAUUAAGUAUAAAAUAAGUUUUUAUGGUAUCCACUAGUGUAAAUACUUUAAAUUAAAGAUCAAAUUUAUUCAUUACAUUCUUAUAGGUCGAGGAGUCUAUCUGUAAAAAAAUCAUCAAAA
This 326-nucleotide long non-coding RNA is filed under the name Malus domestica (apple). RNAcentral's name for it is "long non-coding RNA (MDOM_LNC000423)". Lineage: Eukaryota; Viridiplantae; Streptophyta; Magnoliopsida; Rosales; Rosaceae. The record is from RNAcentral.